Non-coding RNA from Colletotrichum orbiculare MAFF 240422, 72 nucleotides. Lineage: Eukaryota; Fungi; Ascomycota; Sordariomycetes; Glomerellales; Glomerellaceae. The record is from Rfam.
GCCUUGAUGGCUCAGUGGUAAAGCGCCUCACUAGUAAUGAGGAGAUCGAGAGUUCGAUUCUCUCUCGAGGCA